This 252-nucleotide ribosomal RNA is filed under the name uncultured bacterium. RNAcentral's name for it is "partial 16S ribosomal RNA". It matches the Rfam family "Bacterial small subunit ribosomal RNA", at positions 524 to 776 of the family's 1533-position model. The record is from RNAcentral.
UACGGAGGAUGCGAGCGUUAUCCGGAUUUAUUGGGUUUAAAGGGUGCGCAGGCGGCACGGCAAGCCGGCGGUCAAAUCGCGGGGCUCAACCCCGCCCAGCCGUCGGAACUGCCGGGCUAGAGUGGGCGAGAAGUGCGCGGAAUGCGUGGUGUAGCGGUAAAAUGCAUAGAUAUCACGCAGAACUCCGAUUGCGAAGGCAGCAUACCGGCGCCCGACUGACGCUGAGGCACGAAAGCGUGGGGAUCGAACAGG